UACAGAGGUCUCAAGCGUUGUUCGGAUUCAUUGGGCGUAAAGGGGGCGUAGGCGGGUCUUUAAGUCAGGGGUGAAAUCCUGGAGCUCAACUCCAGAACUGCCUUUGAUACUGAAGAUCUUGAGUUCGGGAGAGGUGAGUGGAACUGCGAGUGUAGAGGUGAAAUUCGUAGAUAUUCGCAAGAACACCAGUGGCGAAGGCGGCUCACUGGCCCGAUACUGACGCUGAGGCACGAAAGCGUGGGGAGCAAACAGG
Molecule: ribosomal RNA, 253 nt
Filed under: uncultured bacterium
Lineage: Bacteria
Description: partial 16S ribosomal RNA
Rfam family: Bacterial small subunit ribosomal RNA
Source: RNAcentral